Molecule: ribosomal RNA, 490 nt
Filed under: uncultured bacterium
Lineage: Bacteria
Description: partial 16S ribosomal RNA
Rfam family: Bacterial small subunit ribosomal RNA
Source: RNAcentral
AUUGAACGCUGGCGGCAGGCCUAACACAUGCAAGUCGAACGGUAACAGGAAGAAGCUUGCUUCUUUGCUGACGAGUGGCGGACGGGUGAGUAAUGUCUGGGAAACUGCCUGAUGGAGGGGGAUAACUACUGGAAACGGCAGCUAAUACCGCAUAACGUCGCAAGACCAAAGAGGGGGACCUUCGGGCCUCUUGCCAUCGGAUGUGCCCAGAUGGGAUUAGCUAGUAGGUGGGGUAACGGCUCACCUAGGCGACGAUCCCUAGCUGGUCUGAGAGGAUGACCAGCCACACUGGAACUGAGACACGGUCCAGACUCCUACGGGAGGCAGCAGUGGGGAAUAUUGCACAAAGGGCGCAAGCCUGAUGCAGCCAUGCCGCGUGUAUGAAGAAGGCCUUCGGGUUGUAAAGUACUUUCAGCGGGGAGGAAGGGAGUAAAGUUAAUACCUUUGCUCAUUGACGUUACCCGCAGAAGAAGCACCGGCUAACUCCGUG